AUUGAACGCUGGCGGCAUGCCUUACACAUGCAAGUCGAACGGCAGCACGGGUGCUUGCACCUGGUGGCGAGUGGCGAACGGGUGAGUAAUACAUCGGAACGUACCUUAUCGUGGGGGAUAACGCAGCGAAAGCUGUGCUAAUACCGCAUACGCCCUGAGGGGGAAAGCGGGGGAUCGAAAGACCUCGCGCGAUUAGAGCGGCCGAUACCUGAUUAGCUUGUUGGUGGGGUAAAAGCCCACCAAGGCGACGAUCAGUAGCUGGUCUGAGAGGACGAUCAGCCACACUGGGACUGAGACACGGCCCAGACUCCUACGGGAGGCAGCAGGGGGGAAUUUUGGACAAUGAGGGCAACCCUGAUCCAGCAAUGCCGCGUGAGUGAAGAAGGCCUUCGGGUUGUAAAGCUCUUUUGUCAGGGAAGAAACACCGGCUCUAACACAGUCCGGGAAUGACGGUACCUGAAGAAUAAGCACCGGCUAACUACGUGCCAGCCGCCGCUGUAA
Molecule: ribosomal RNA, 501 nt
Filed under: uncultured bacterium
Lineage: Bacteria
Description: partial 16S ribosomal RNA
Rfam family: Bacterial small subunit ribosomal RNA
Source: RNAcentral